AUUGAACGCUGGCGGCAUGCUUUACACAUGCAAGUCGGACGGCAGCACAGAGAAGCUUGCUUCUUGGGUGGCGAGUGGCGAACGGGUGAGUAAUAUAUCGGAACGUACCGAGUAAUGGGGGAUAACUAAUCGAAAGAUUAGCUAAUACCGCAUAUUCUCUGAGGAGGAAAGCAGGGGACCUUCGGGCCUUGCGUUAUUCGAGCGGCCGAUAUCUGAUUAGCUAGUUGGUGGGGUAAAGGCCUACCAAGGCGACGAUCAGUAGCGGUUCUGAGAGGAUGAUCCGCCACACUGGGACUGAGACACGGCCCAGACUCCUACGGGAGGCAGCAGUGGGGAAUUUUGGACAAUGGGCGCAAGCCUGAUCCAGCCAUGCCGCGUGUCUGAAGAAGGCCUUCGGGUUGUAAAGGACUUUUGUCAGGGAAGAAAAGGCUGUUGCUAAUAUCGACAGCUGAUGACGGUACCUGAAGAAUAAGCACCGGCUAACUACGUG
Molecule: ribosomal RNA, 490 nt
Filed under: uncultured bacterium
Lineage: Bacteria
Description: partial 16S ribosomal RNA
Rfam family: Bacterial small subunit ribosomal RNA
Source: RNAcentral